This 705-nucleotide long non-coding RNA is filed under the name Drosophila guanche. Lineage: Eukaryota; Metazoa; Arthropoda; Insecta; Diptera; Drosophilidae. The record is from RNAcentral.
AUUAGUUUAAAUUAAUUAAAUGUAAAUCUUUUUUCACCUGCCUCGCAUUCGAGGGCAGCCUUCCAUCUAACAGAUAUUUUCAAUGCCAGGUCGGCAGGCAGACCAGGCAGCAAAUGCAAUUUUGAUGGCUCCAAACACGUAGAACACAAAAAACUCGGGGCCAGAAAAGUAAACAAAAACAACACAAGCAGAAAAACCAACAGCAAAUAUUUCAUGGAUAUUUGGCUCAAACUGGAAAGCAGCCAACACAACGACGAGUGCCUGACACUGCAAAUGAAAUGAAUGUCAAAGCUGAGUGCGCAGCCCAUAGACGAAUAAACAAAUACUUUAGGAAAUCUAUAGGUAAAUAAACCUAUCUACAUACAUAUAUGAAGCUCAUCAAAAUAGCCAUUUUUCAGUGGUUAAACUAAAUUUGUAAUACUUCUGGUAAUGAUCUAGAAAAAAAUCAUCUGAGGCUGAUCCCUAAAUAACGAUAGCCGCAUGAGCUAAGGUGCAGCACAACAGCACAACAGCAGCACAACAGCACAGCAAAAAAAUGACAAUUGGCACAUGAAGCUGUUUAAAAACAAAACAGAAAUGAAGCAAAUAAAAAGAAACAACAAAAUGGCACCCGCAAAAGUAUUUAAAUAAAGCGAAUUUAAAUCGCAACAAUGCGAUUGAACAUGAAACAAAAAAGAUAAUAAAAGAUAAUGCAGCUGUCGCACC